CCUACGGGAGGCAGCAGUAGGGAAUCUUCCACAAUGGGCGAAAGCCUGAUGGAGCAACGCCGCGUGGGUGAAGAAGGUCUUCGGAUCGUAAAACCCUGUUGUUAGAGAAGAAAGUGCGUGAGAGUAACUGUUCACGUUUCGACGGUAUCUAACCAGAAAGCCACGGCUAACUACGUGCCAGCAGCCGCGGUAAUACGUAGGUGGCAAGCGUUAUCCGGAUUUUUUGGGCGUAAAGGGAACGCAGGCGGUCUUUUCAGUCUGAUGUGAAAGCCUUCGGCUUAACCGGAGUAGUGCAUUGGAAACUGGGAGACUUGAGGGCAGAAGAGGAGAGUGGAACUCCAUGUGUAGCGGGGAAAUGCGUAGAUAUAUGGAAGAACACCAGUGGCGAAAGCGGCUCUCUGGUCUGUAACUGACGCUGAGGUUCGAAAGCGUGGGUAGCAAACAGGAUUAGAUACCCCUGUAGUC
Molecule: ribosomal RNA, 465 nt
Filed under: uncultured bacterium
Lineage: Bacteria
Description: partial 16S ribosomal RNA
Rfam family: Bacterial small subunit ribosomal RNA
Source: RNAcentral